AAUAGAUACCCCGGUAGUCCUGGCCCUAAACGGUUCGCAUUUGCUGUAAGAGGAAUCGACCCCUUUUGUGGCGAAGCUAACGCGUUAAAUGCGCCGCCUGGGAAGUACGGCCGCAAGGUUAAAACUCAAAGAAAUUGACGGGGGCCUGCACAAGCGGUGGAGUAUGUGGCUUAAUUCGAUGCAACGCGAAGAACCUUACCUGGCCUUGACAUGCAAGUAGUAGAACCCUGAAAGGGGGACGAGGUAGCAAUACCAGCUUGCACAGGUGCUGCAUGGCUGUCGUCAGCUCGUGUCGUGAGAUGUUGGGUUAAGUCCCGCAACGAGCGCAACCCUCGCUACUAGUUGCCAGCAGGUUAAGCUGGGCACUCUAGUGGAACUGCCGGUGGCAAGCCGGAGGAAGGUGGGGAUGACGUCAAGUCCUCAUGGCCCUUACGCGUGGGGCUACACACGUGCUACAAUGGUGGUGACAGAGGGAUAAUCCCUAAAAGGCCAUCUCAGUUCGGAUUGUCCUCUGCAACUCGAGGGCA
Molecule: ribosomal RNA, 527 nt
Filed under: uncultured bacterium
Lineage: Bacteria
Description: bacterial SSU rRNA
Rfam family: Bacterial small subunit ribosomal RNA
Source: RNAcentral